GACGAACGCUGGCGGCGUGCUUAACACAUGCAAGUCGAACGGAAAGGCCCUGCUUUUGUGGGGUGCUCGAGUGGCGAACGGGUGAGUAACACGUGAGUAACCUGCCCUUGACUUUGGGAUAACUUCAGGAAACUGGGGCUAAUACCGGAUAGGAGCUCCUGCUGCAUGGUGGGGGUUGGAAAGUUUCGGCGGGUGGGGAUGGACUCGCGGCUUAUCAGCUUGUUGGUGGGGUAGUGGCUUACCAAGGCUUUGACGGGUAGCCGGCCUGAGAGGGUGACCGGGCACAUGGGGAAGUAGGUGAGGCCCGGGAGCCGUGGGGGAGCAGAAGGGGGGAAAGUUAGACAAAUGGAGGGAGGCGGAUGGAGGAAUGCCGGGGGGGGGGUGGGCGACUUUGGGUGUGAAACAGGUAUCCCCGGGGAAGGAAGGGGGGUGAAGGUAAUGGGUAAAGAAGCAACGGCUAAAUAAGGG
Molecule: ribosomal RNA, 468 nt
Filed under: uncultured bacterium
Lineage: Bacteria
Description: partial 16S ribosomal RNA
Rfam family: Bacterial small subunit ribosomal RNA (bases 13-373)
Source: RNAcentral